UGUGUGGUGUAGGGUUUGUUCAUUGACUCGUUAUAGAUGUAGUUGUGGGGAAUGUUGGCUGGCUCGAGGCUUUCUUGAGUGAUUUUAUGUAUGCCUCAAAAAGCUUCGGACCAGGCUUCAUUCCCCUCAACAAACUUCCAAUAAUCCAAUACUACCACCCUCCUCCUCCUCUUCUUCAUCUUCCCCGCGUGAAGGUUGGGUUGAGAGGAAUGUUGUCUGGCUCGAGGUAUCAUUUAUUUUUCUUUUCUUUUCUUCGGGUUUUUGUUGGAUUGAAUUUAACCCCAAAAUGAAAGAAAGAAAGAAAGAAAGAAAGAAGAAGAAAUAUAAGGUGAUGAGUGAUUCUCGGACCAGGCUUCAUUCCCCUCAACCGGCAUUUGCUCUAUAAGCUGGCUGCUCUCAUGCAUACUUCUCUUGGGUUUGGACGACAGAAAGGAGAGAUGACAUGACAUGUGUGACAAGUAGAUGAGUUGUUGUUAGGGUUGUUUGAACUGUCAAAAUUUGUUUGAUAUCGUGGGAUGAAGAAGACGGGGCCCUGUUUGUAUCUUGUCUAUCCUAUCAAUCCAAAUUUUCUUUUUGUCCA
Long non-coding RNA from Vitis riparia (riverbank grape), 580 nucleotides. RefSeq lists it as uncharacterized. The record is from RefSeq and is a predicted model, not a curated record. The transcript is spliced from 2 exons. Lineage: Eukaryota; Viridiplantae; Streptophyta; Magnoliopsida; Vitales; Vitaceae.